Molecule: ribosomal RNA, 501 nt
Filed under: Roseovarius sp. RI7
Lineage: Bacteria; Pseudomonadati; Pseudomonadota; Alphaproteobacteria; Rhodobacterales; Roseobacteraceae
Description: bacterial SSU rRNA
Rfam family: Bacterial small subunit ribosomal RNA
Source: RNAcentral
UGCAGUCGAGCGCACCUUCGGGUGAGCGGCGGACGGGUUAGUAACGCGUGGGAACGUACCCAGAUCUAAGGAAUAGCCACUGGAAACGGUGAGUAAUACCUUAUACGCCCUUCGGGGGAAAGAUUUAUCGGAUUUGGAUCGGCCCGCGUUAGAUUAGGUAGUUGGUGGGGUAAUGGCCUACCAAGCCUACGAUCUAUAGCUGGUUUUAGAGGAUGAUCAGCAACACUGGGACUGAGACACGGCCCAGACUCCUACGGGAGGCAGCAGUGGGGAAUCUUAGACAAUGGGGGCAACCCUGAUCUAGCCAUGCCGCGUGAGUGAAGAAGGUCUUAGGAUCGUAAAGCUCUUUCGCCAGGGAUGAUAAUGACAGUACCUGGUAAAGAAACCCCGGCUAACUCCGUGCCAGCAGCCGCGGUAAUACGGAGGGGGUUAGCGUUGUUCGGAAUUACUGGGCGUAAAGCGCGCGUAGGCGGAUCAGAAAGUUGGGGGUGAAAUCCCAGG